RNAcentral lists this ribosomal RNA (253 nucleotides) under uncultured bacterium. Its description in RNAcentral is "partial 16S ribosomal RNA". It matches the Rfam family "Bacterial small subunit ribosomal RNA", at positions 524 to 776 of the family's 1533-position model. The record is from RNAcentral.
UACGUAGGGUGCAAGCGUUGUCCGGAAUUAUUGGGCGUAAAGGGCUCGUAGGCGGUCCGUCACGUCGGGAGUGAAAUCCUGGGGCUUAACCCCAGAACUGCUUCCGAUACGGGCAGACUAGAGGUAGGUAGGGGAGAAUGGAAUUCCUGGUGUAGCGGUGAAAUGCGCAGAUAUCAGGAGGAACACCGGUGGCGAAGGCGGGUCUCUGGGCCGAUACUGACGCUGAGGAGCGAAAGCGUGGGGAGCGAACAGG